This 440-nucleotide ribosomal RNA is filed under the name uncultured bacterium. Its description in RNAcentral is "partial 16S ribosomal RNA". It matches the Rfam family "Bacterial small subunit ribosomal RNA", at positions 338 to 795 of the family's 1533-position model. The record is from RNAcentral.
CCUACGGGAUGCAGCAGUGGGGGAUAUUGCACAAUGGGGGGAACCCUGAUGCAGCGACGCCGCGUGGGUGAAGAAGCGCCCCGGCGCGUAAAGCCCUGUCAGCAGGGAAGAAAAUGACGGUACCUGAAGCAGAAGCCCCGGCUAACUACGUGCCAGCAGCCGCGGUAAUACGGAGGGGGCAGGCGUUAUCCGGAUUUACUGGGUGUAAAGGGGGGGCAGGCGGCGAUGCAAGCCAGGAGGGAAAGCCCGGGGCUCAACCCCGGGACUGCUCUUGGAACUGCGUGGCUGGAGUGCAGGAGGGGCAGGCGGAAUGCGUGGUGUAGCGGUGAAAUGCGUAGAUAUCAGGAGGAACACCGGUGGCGAAGGCGGCCUGCUGGACUGCAACUGACGUUGAGGCCCGAAAGCGUGGGGAGCAAACAGGAUUAGAUACCCUUGUAGUC